CCCAGAGCCUGAAUCAGUGUGUGUGUUAGUGGAAGCGUCUGGAAAGGCGCGCGAUACAGGGUGACAGCCCCGUACACAAAAAUGCACAUAUUGUGAGCUCGAUGAGUAGGGCGGGACACGUGGUAUCCUGUCUGAAUAUGGGGGGACCAUCCUCCAAGGCUAAAUACUCCUGACUGACCGAUAGUGAACCAGUACCGUGAGGGAAAGGCGAAAAGAACCCCGGCGAGGGGAGUGAAAAAGAACCUGAAACCGUGUACGUACAAGCAGUGGGAGCCUCUUAAUGGGGUGACUGCGUACCUUUUGUAUAAUGGGUCAGCGACUUAUAUUCUGUAGCAAGGUUAACCGAAUAGGGGAGCCGAAGGGAAACCGAGUCUUAACUGGGCGUUAAGUUGCAGGGUAUAGACCCGAAACCCGGUGAUCUAGCCAUGGGCAGGUUGAAGGUUGGGUAACACUAACUGGAGGACCGAACCGACUAAUGUUGAAAAAUUAGCGGAUGACUUGUGGCUGGGGGUGAAAGGCCAAUCAAACCGGGAGAUAGCUGGUUCUCCCCGAAAGCUAUUUAGGUAGCGCCUCGUGAAUUCAUCUCCGGGGGUAGAGCACUGUUUCGGCAAGGGGGUCAUCCCGACUUACCAACCCGAUGCAAACUGCGAAUACCGGAGAAUGUUAUCACGGGAGACACACGGCGGGUGCUAACGUCCGUCGUGAAGAGGGAAACAACCCAGACCGCCAGCUAAGGUCCCAAAGUCAUGGUUAAGUGGGAAACGAUGUGGGAAGGCCCAGACAGCCAGGAUGUUGGCUUAGAAGCAGCCAUCAUUUAAAGAAAGCGUAAUAGCUCACUGGUCGAGUCGGCCUGCGCGGAAGAUGUAACGGGGCUAAACCAUGCACCGAAGCUGCGGCAGCGACACUAUGUGUUGUUGGGUAGGGGAGCG
RNAcentral lists this ribosomal RNA (929 nucleotides) under Escherichia coli O25b:H4-ST131. RNAcentral's name for it is "partial 23S ribosomal RNA". It matches the Rfam family "Bacterial large subunit ribosomal RNA", at positions 296 to 1238 of the family's 2925-position model. Lineage: Bacteria; Pseudomonadati; Pseudomonadota; Gammaproteobacteria; Enterobacterales; Enterobacteriaceae. The record is from RNAcentral.